Molecule: ribosomal RNA, 425 nt
Filed under: uncultured bacterium
Lineage: Bacteria
Description: partial 16S ribosomal RNA
Rfam family: Bacterial small subunit ribosomal RNA
Source: RNAcentral
GUGGGGAAUCUUGCGCAAUGGGCGAAAGCCUGACGCAGCCAUGCCGCGUGAAUGAUGAAGGUCUUAGGAUUGUAAAAUUCUUUCACCGGGGACGAUAAUGACGGUACCCGGAGAAGAAGCUCCGGCUAACUUCGUGCCAGCAGCCGCGGUAAUACGAAGGGGGCUAGCGUUGCUCGGAAUUACUGGGCGUAAAGGGCGCGUAGGCGGGCAGCUUAGUCAGAGGUGAAAGCCCAGGGCUCAACCUUGGAAUUGCCUUUGAUACUGGCUGUCUUGAGUUUGGGAGAGGUGAGUGGAACUCCGAGUGUAGAGGUGAAAUUCGUAGAUAUUCGGAAGAACACCAGUGGCGAAGGCGACUCACUGGCCCAAUACUGACGCUGAGGCGCGAAAGCGUGGGGAGCAAACAGGAUUAGAUACCCUUGUAGUCC